UUCACGAGUUCUGAAAUGGAGGAUAUAGAGAAAUAGCUAUCAUACACAAAAAGUCUUAGGCAAGAGCUUUAAAUGGAAACAAUUAGAAGCAAAUUAUACAUUGAGUAUGGGAACAAAUUUUUGCAUGCUUGAGCCGAUGUGGAGGAGCAAGAUUCACCAUGUGCUGCUAUUAGAAAAGUUCAUGCAAAAUUUCAAAGUAAAAUAACCAAAAGUCAUGGUUUGACAAAUGAAAGAUAAGAAUGCUUCACUUUUCAACCAAUUCUGCUUCAUUUAAUAGUCGAACCUUGUCACAAAAAAUUACUUUGACCAUUGUCAAAGUGGGAAUUUAUUAAAUCAUAAAGAGCUGGUUGCACAUGGCAUGAAAGAAAAUGAAAUUCAUUCCAUUGACAAAAGCGCACAAUCAGCUGCACAUGCCUGCUAAAGUGUUGAAUUUUUUAUUUUGUUAGAUGACUUCGUGCAUCUUUUGCAACGGAUUGAAGCUUGUCAGCUUCAUGAUCUGACUCUGCAAGCUGAGAUUUCAAAACCAGCAUCAUUUUUUUCUUCUAUAAUCCCUUCAAAUCUAGGAUUGGUUACAAAUUUUUGUUAUAAAUACAGAAUCAAUUUACAAUCCAAGAGAGGGAGAACAAUAAAAAAGUGAGGGAUUUAUAAAAAUUCAGAGGCUAACGGAAACCAAAAACCCUGCCAAAAAACUUGGUUUUUGCACUACCUAAACAAAAACUGCCUUGACCAUCGCCAAAAGCCACGUGCACUAAGCAAACCUCCAACACUGCCUUAUACCUCCACAAUUACCUCUCCUCUCAUAAAGCCACCACAGAUUCAACCACAAAUCCCAAAACUACCAAGCUCCUACAUGGCCAACCCAACCCAAAGCUCACCACCAGUAGCUCCACCCAACAACCCAUAAAUACAUCAAAAAAAAAAAAAAAAAAAGCCUACCGUUGAAACCAAACAACAAUUCACAAAGAAAAACAACCCAAGAUCGAAACACCAUUGACAACCUACCCUUCACGUAGCCAUCAUCACCCAAGAUUCACAAAUCCAAAAACCACAGCAAACACCCAAGAAAAAAAAAAAGGAUGAAGCCUGCCAAAAAAUAAAUAAAAAAGACCUCUUGGCCAAAACCGAGAAAAACCCCCAAAAAAAAUUCCUAGCUUACUAGAAAACCAAAACCAAGCAUACAACAAUAAAAAAAACCACAGCCC
Molecule: long non-coding RNA, 1202 nt
Filed under: Durio zibethinus
Lineage: Eukaryota; Viridiplantae; Streptophyta; Magnoliopsida; Malvales; Malvaceae
Description: long non-coding RNA (DZIB_LNC001409)
Source: RNAcentral